This 701-nucleotide long non-coding RNA is filed under the name Olea europaea subsp. europaea. The record is from RNAcentral. Lineage: Eukaryota; Viridiplantae; Streptophyta; Magnoliopsida; Lamiales; Oleaceae.
AAAUGUUGAUGGAAAAUGAUAAAACUUGCAAUGCCCAUAACGAAACUUACCCAUUUUGUUGUUGGGGUAAACCACGGACAAUAUUAACAUGCAGUUCCCCAGAUUUGUCACCAAUACUAUCACUAGUUUCCUUCCAUAGCCCGACAAAUUUUAAAAGGUGUGUAAGAGUCUUCACAAGCGAUAAAACCCCUUCGCGAACCUUGUUGUCCUUGUAUGAUUUGUUGCUUGAAUUAUAUAUGUAAAGAACAUGGUUAGUAAUAUCAAGCUGCCCUAACAUCCAAUGAGCAUGAUUUGUGGGCAUAAUGGGCAUCAACACAGAUUCAACUUCUCUCCAAGCAGUAUUAAAUGAUAACCGUUCACCAUUGAUGGUUUUGAUUAGCUCAUCCUUCUUCUCAACAAUGCUUGGGUCUUGAAUAAACUUGGAGUAUGUCGACUUGAUUGACAUAUCAAAUAUGCAGUCUGUAGUGGUAGCUUUCAUCUUCACACCUUCACCGAACUUGGCAAGUUGUCUUAUGUAAUGAAAGCAUGCAUCCAAGUGCUGUAAUAAGAAAGAAUAUACAUAAGUAAUACAAAACUACUAUGCAUAUGUGGAAAAUGGUGAAAAAAUUGUACCGUGCUGUUCAAUGAUGAAUUAGAAUCGAUCAAUGCAUGCCACCAAGUUUUAUAAUGAACAGCGACAGUGCCACAUACAAAUUGAGGAC